GAGAGAGAAAGAGACGAGUAGACGCAAGUUUAUGCACGUUUAGCGCUACCGAUUAUUUAGCUCCUGAGAGACGACUUAAUAUCGCUUUUUAACCUUAAAAUUUAACGACGUAACGAUCUACAAAGCUCCGAUUUUCUGCACUGUUUUCUCUCUGCCUUCCUUUUUUAUUUUACUUCGCUUAUCUGUACUUUUUUUUCAAGGACGAAGCAUGGAAUGACUGGACUGAAUUAAGUGCAUCCAAGAGUUGAAAAGAAAGGAUCUCUCGAAGAGUCCUGUCGAAGCAUUUCGCGAAGAACGGACGUUUACAAGAAAAUGUUUCCACUGAGGAUUGAACGCCGUUGAUCUUCCCAUCGUUUGGAUUGUCAAUGUGUAUGAGUCGUAUCUCGUGGACGGAGCAGUAUGGGAUCUCAGAUAAUUAUGUCGUCGUCCAGCUUGUCGAUAUAAUGUGAAGGGUGAAUGACAUUAACAGACGAUACACGGCGUCCGUUGGGCCGUUGAACCUGCGACUUGCGCCAUAGCCAACGAGUGAUGGUAAAAAUAUUUGCAGCGUUUGUGCGCCGUUACUCAAAGAAACUGGAGCAAACUUCGCUAUCUUUUUUCUGCAGUUUACAUCCGCAAUGCGCGGAUACAAUUUGCACGGUGCGAGAAUGCAAGUGUGGGCAUAUAUAGACAAUUUUCCCGGCGAAAUUGUUUACCGGUAACCAGUGGUAACUCCGCAGCAGCGCGGGAAGGAUUCUUAAUCGUCGUGAUCAAUAACUCUCGAUGCUGUUGCGUGAUGCCACGUAAUAAUGCUGUACGCCGUCGUAAUUUGUAAAGUUUGCGCGAUUCGUAGCAGCCGCGAUAUGUCUCGUGUCUCGUUUCUCCCAUUUUUUACUCCGACCGUAGAAAUUUGUUACGCAGACGCGGAGAUUAUAUCGAUAUCACGUCGAGAUUACGUUUGUAAAUAUGUCUCUGCGAGAUAUAGAUAGUUCGAUUCCUUCAGUUUAAUUUUUAUUUUAGUUGGGGAAAUUGUCAAACGCCACGGUCAGACGCCUGCAACUAAACAUUAGUCAUCACUUGAGCUGUUUAAUGCCUGUUAAAGCGAAGAUAGUUAACGCCUGUUAAACCGUUAGCGCCAAGUAAAAGCUAAUGCUAACUGGUGAUUACAUCAGUUAUGCCAAUUACUUGUUGGUGUGCUCGCGGUUCUUAGGUAUGUUGGAUUUAAUAUCUCAUAAUUAAUCUCGGAUGCAAUGAGGAAAUGUUAGAAAUAUAUUGAAAGCAACAUGUUUACCAGUCAGUUAAACAUACUUGAAGGAUUAGUCACUUGAAAAACAAACUGUGGUCGUAAAUCCAACUUAUCUGAGUUGAGAGAAAAUAUUGAGUCUCGCAGUCGCCAACUAAUAAUGAUAGUUGAAGGUUAUUAUCAACUAAUGUUAUCAGAGUGUUCUCGUUCGUCGCGAGAUAAGUCUCAUGAAAUAACGACUCCAAAUAAAAUAGGAAAAUUGCGCAUAUCUCGUGCGCGAUAUCAUGUGGAAGUGGGCACGUACGUUUCACUCGUUAUGCAUUCUUGUUGAUCUUUACUAAAUAAUAACGUAUGGAAAUUUACUGGCGUUCUAUCGAAUUUAUCGUUGCAUCUACCGCCGUGCUGCGAGCCCGCGAUUAUCGGUUGCGAUAUAUUCAUAGAUAUUUAUUUCGUCGCCCGUAAUAUCUCACUCGAUCACGUAAAUCCUCCCGAGACACGUUCGCAUCUUAUGUCAUUUAUUCACGCGCGUUGAAACGUUGAGAAACGUCGCUUCGCUCUCCAUCUCUCGCGUCAAUAGCGCGAUUGUAUUCGACGAAGUUUCAUACCGGUUUUAUUUGCCGUUGCAUAUAGUUCUUGUAGUUUCACUUAUCGAUAAUGUCGGUUCAACGACACGUGCUCCGUCAUUAAUAUGCGAACGCAGGAUGCAGCUCAAGUCAUUUUAUACAAUGAAUUUAUUCGUAUAUAUACGUCACAGAUGGUGUAUUCCGCACUAGCUAACUCUACAAAAUGAUCCUCCGGUAUUUGUCUGCUGCUGAAUGCGCUACUAAUUAAUUUUCUGCAUUACAACUGGCACUUCUGAAGUAUUGUUUAAUCGCUAGUCUCAAUCACUAGGGCUGUCUCUUUGGUGUGUGUCUUUGGCUUUAGAAAAAUACUCAAUUUUUGAUUCUCUAAGGUCUAAAAGAUGCAAGAAUGAUGAUUGAGCCGCGAGCAUUGCACUGAUCGCCUCGGAUGCUCUUCCUUUCUGUCAAAAAUUGAUUAUUUUUAUGUAUAUAUAUAUAAUUACUAUUUAUUGUUGCCUAUCUCUCUCUCUAUAUAUAUAUGUAUAUAUAAUAUAUAACGCCGUCAAGCAUCCGGAAAAAACGUAAUCGCAAAAUACACGCUUGUAUCUCUAUGAACUAAUAAUGCGGUAUUAAUAAUGUGGUUACACGGUGAUAUACCUUUUGUCUCUGCGAUACAUAGUACCCUACUUAUUGUUUGUGUACCGUUACAUGUGUACUUUUCUCUUCGUCUGCCCUGUACGCCCCUCUAUUUAUAUUUUAUAUACCUUCUGCGGUGAGUCAGCAUGUGUGCGGAUGUAUACAUUGUACGGAAGCACGGACUAUUAUCUACGUUACACGCACUAAGUGACUGACUUAACUAUGAUCCUCCCUAAAAACUACUCAGACUUCGAUUUAAUAUUUAUCUCGCUUAUAAGAAUAACAUCAUGAUCGUAUUUGUAUCGAGUAUGGCGCACCUUUACUCUUAUCGAUAAAUUAAUACUGCGACGACUAGACGACUUGACCACGUGACUGCGACGUGACGUGACGUGUUCGGUCAUGUUUGUCCUUACAAUUACUACCUAAUUUGACACAUAAUUUUUCGUAUACAGUCUUAACAUUUAUGAUGAUGUUUGUAUUGUGCUAAAAAUAUGUCACACAGACUACAAAACUUUUUCUCCUUUUCGCAAUUUUUCUUUCUUUUCUUCUUGGUCAAUAUAUAUAUAUAUAUGUGUGUGUGUGUGUGUGUCCUGUAUAAAGUUCUCUCUGGAGUGUUAACUCCUUGAUCGCUGCGAGUAAAAUAACGUGUCUUCCUUUAGAAUCUUCGUCACUGUUUGAAUAAUGCUACAGUCGUGUAUAAUCUACGUUCGUAGAAUAAUAUUCCUAUAUAUUGGUAUCAGCCGAUAAGUUGUAAAUUUCAUAACCAGUGUAAAACGAUCAGUACUAAACGAUUAUCACAGAGUCGUUAAGCAACGUCGUACAUAUAUGUAUAGGGCGUACCGCUAAUUUUACAAUAUAUCUCGUUAUACG
Long non-coding RNA from Ooceraea biroi (clonal raider ant), 3288 nucleotides. RefSeq lists it as uncharacterized. Lineage: Eukaryota; Metazoa; Arthropoda; Insecta; Hymenoptera; Formicidae. The record is from RefSeq and is a predicted model, not a curated record.